Molecule: unclassified non-coding RNA, 284 nt
Organism: Callithrix jacchus (white-tufted-ear marmoset)
Lineage: Eukaryota; Metazoa; Chordata; Mammalia; Primates; Cebidae
Rfam family: Metazoan signal recognition particle RNA
About the family: The signal recognition particle (SRP) is a universally conserved ribonucleoprotein. It is involved in the co-translational targeting of proteins to membranes. The eukaryotic SRP consists of a 300-nucleotide 7S RNA and six proteins: SRPs 72, 68, 54, 19, 14, and 9.
Source: Ensembl
GCCUCGUGCCUGUGGUCCCACCUACUCGGGAGGCUGAGGCUAGAGGAUGGCUUGAGUCCAGGAGUUCUGGGCUUGCACUAUGCUAAUCAGGUGUAGGCACUAAAUUCGGCAUCAAUAUGGUGACCUCCUAGGAGCAGGGGACCACCAGGUUGCCUAAGGAGGGGUGAAGCAGCCCAGGUCAGAAACUGAGCAGGUCAAAACUCCCAUGCUGAUUAGUAGUAGAACUACACCUGUGAAUAGCCAUUGCAUUCCAGUCUGGGCAACACACUGAGACCCCUUCUCAA